CAGAGGGUGCAAGCGUUAAUCGGAAUUACUGGGCGUAAAGCGUGCGUAGUCGGUCAUCUAAGUCGGAUGUGAAAUCCCCGGGCUCAACCUGGGAAUUGCAUUCGAUACUGGAUGGCUAGAGUUCGGCAGAGGGAAGCGGAAUUUCUGGUGUAGCGGUGAAAUGCGUAGAUAUCAGAAGGAACAUCAGUGGCGAAAGCGGCUUCCUGGACCAGAACUGACGAUCAGGCACGAAAGCGUGGGGAGCAAACAGGAUUAGAUACCCUGGUAGUCCACGCCAUAAACGAUGACAACUAGACGUUGGGGACAUAUGGUCCACAGUGUCGCAGCUAACGCGUUAAGUUGUCCGCCUGGGGAGUACGGCCGCAAGGUUG
Molecule: ribosomal RNA, 371 nt
Filed under: uncultured organism
Description: bacterial SSU rRNA
Rfam family: Bacterial small subunit ribosomal RNA
Source: RNAcentral